GAGGGUGUGGCUCAAGUGGUAGAGCGCAUGCUUAACAUGCAUAUGGUCCUGGAUUCAAUCCCCAGUACCUCUA
Molecule: transfer RNA, 73 nt
Filed under: Camelus bactrianus (Bactrian camel)
Lineage: Eukaryota; Metazoa; Chordata; Mammalia; Artiodactyla; Camelidae
Also listed under: 2 other names
Rfam family: tRNA
About the family: Transfer RNA (tRNA) molecules are approximately 80 nucleotides in length. Their secondary structure includes four short double-helical elements and three loops (D, anti-codon, and T loops).
Source: Rfam by way of RNAcentral